Molecule: ribosomal RNA, 440 nt
Filed under: uncultured bacterium
Lineage: Bacteria
Description: partial 16S ribosomal RNA
Rfam family: Bacterial small subunit ribosomal RNA
Source: RNAcentral
CCUACGGGAGGCAGCAGUGGGGAAUAUUGCACAAUGGGGGAAACCCUGAUGCAGCGAAGCCGCGUGAGUGAAGAAGUAAUUCGUUAUUUUAAGCUCUAUCAGCAGGGAAGAAAAUUACGGUACCUGCGUAAGAAGCCCCGGCUAACUACGUGCCAGCAGCCGUGGUAAUACGCAGGGGGCAAGCGUUAUCCGGAUUUACUGGGUGUAAAGGGAGCGUAGACGGCAGUGUAAGUCUGGAGUGAAAGGUGGGGGCUCAACCCCCGGACUGCUCUGGAAACUGUACGGCUGGAGUGCAGGAGAGGUAAGUGGAAUUCCUAGUGUAGCGGUGAAAUGCGUAGAUAUUAGGAGGAACACCAGUGGCGAAGGCGGCCUACUGGACUGUAACUGAAGUUGAGGCUCGAAAGUGUGGGGAGCAAACAGGAUUAGAUACCCUGGUAGUC